Molecule: non-coding RNA, 103 nt
Organism: Hypoxylon fragiforme
Lineage: Eukaryota; Fungi; Ascomycota; Sordariomycetes; Xylariales; Hypoxylaceae
Source: the annotation of a RefSeq genome assembly
GGCACGAUGCCGGAGUGGUCUAACGGGUGAGACUUGAAUUGCCACCAGCGAAUCUUGUCAUCUCAUGUCUUAGGACGCGCAGGUUCGAAUCCUGCUCGUGUCG